GGGAGCGGAGAGGCUUCAUGCCGUUCCGUCUCAACAGAGACGCUGACAGGCAGUCGGCUGUAAUGGACGCAGGUGCAACAGGUGGGGAGGGGGCAGACGGAGGCUGCAGCUGUGAAUCUUCCCACUGGAUCUAGAGGCCUGCAACACACAAAGCCCAAACAACCAGGAGUAAUUCAGUCAGUCAAGAAAACCUUCCAUGGCAUCAAGAUUUCCACUGACUCAACCUCUCCACUUUCUUCCUGCUGUGCUCCUUGGUCUUCAUGAUGCUACUAAUAUUCUCAACAACCUUCUAACAGCUGAAUGCUGGCAUUAAAUUACACACCACCUACUGUCACUCCUCAAGGCUGUGGUGAUGACGGAUGAGGCCAACAUGCCAUGUAUAUGAAAGAUAGCUGACAAAGAGCAAGCAUUCCUUUCUAAUAAUAGCACAGAAUCAACUUGUAUGUUGUAAGAAUCCAAAUCCAAUUGAGAGAAGACAGCAAAGAGGAAGGUCAAAGUGAGAAGGGGAAUUAAAUGGAAAUAAAGCGAAAAGGACAAAGGAAAUGACAAAAUCGAACCAGUCAUCAAAAUUUAAGUUGUUAAAAUGGUUGACCGAGAAUCAUUUUACUUAGAUUUAAAGUCAAUGUAUUAAAACCAACCAGACAUUCAGCUCUUUAUUGAUUU
Long non-coding RNA from Poeciliopsis prolifica (blackstripe livebearer), 663 nucleotides. RefSeq lists it as uncharacterized. Lineage: Eukaryota; Metazoa; Chordata; Actinopteri; Cyprinodontiformes; Poeciliidae. The transcript has 5 exons. The record is from RefSeq and is a predicted model, not a curated record.